This 2479-nucleotide long non-coding RNA is filed under the name Triticum aestivum (bread wheat). Its description in RNAcentral is "long non-coding RNA (TAES_LNC009105)". Lineage: Eukaryota; Viridiplantae; Streptophyta; Magnoliopsida; Poales; Poaceae. The record is from RNAcentral.
CCGGCCACCGAUGAGCAUGAUGUGCCACACGGCCCUCCGGUUUCUUCCGCUGACGUUGAUGACGACCAGGUCAGCCUCUUCCGCCCGAUAGCCACCACCCUCUGCCACUUCUUCGCCAGCCGAGCGAGUGUCUUGGCACUCAUCAUGGUGGCUUAUUUGUGUUUCUGGAAGCGGGAGAAAUUCUUCUGCGAGAGGGAGCUUGGAAUGCCUUUAUCUGUGGAUGAAGUGGUGGUGAGGGCACUUAGCCAUGGAUUUAUAGAUCAAGGGUAAAGCGAGCGCCCACAUGGUGGAGCACGUGAUGGUUGGGCAGGGAGACAAUGUUGUGGGCAUGGAGGCAUGGUGUAUGUGCUGCUGCCGUUUUGGAGGUGCCAUGAUGAGAUCUGGAUCAGGUUCUGCUGGGGCCAAGUGUUUGGCACUUGCCAGAGCUUGGGCUGGACGUCUCGCCUACACACGUCGUGAUGGGUUUGCUGGGGAAAUGGCAUGAGGAGCCCAUGAGGGUCUCUAGCCGAACCACAUUUCAGACAUGGAUAGUGCUUGAAAAUCUCACCAAAAUCAUUCAUCACACUGUCUGCAGCUAGUUGCAACAACACUGCAUGAAGAGCACUCAUGGCAUUGUCCCCUGCCCAACGCUCUCGUUGAUAGCUACACACAACCCACACGCAUAUGCACUUCCCUGAGCCCUCUCCCCCUUCUACUAUAAAUCCAUGGCCUGCUCAACACAGACUUCAUCUCAUAUGCAAGCCACAUCACAAUCUACAACACGCCUUCUGAGUUUCAGUGCCAAACUGAAAUUUAGCCAGUCAGGAACACAUCGGACUCAUCAACCAUGAUCCAUCCAAAGAAACUUGCUCAGCUGGCCAAGAAGUGCCAGCGGAUGUUGGUUGCCAGAGCCGGAGCCCAACGCCAGCAGCAUGCCUCAGACACGGCCGACGACGAGUGCUGCAGCACAACGUCGUCUGUGGUUGCCGAUGAGGGCCACUGCGUGGUGUAUGCCACCGACGGAGCACGGUUUGAGGUCCCUCUGGUGUACCUUGGGACGACGGUCUUCGCCGAGCUCCUGAGGAUGUCCGAAGAGGAGUUUGGCUUUGCAAGCGGUAGCGAUGGAGGCAGGAUCACGCUGCCCUGCGAUGCCACGGUGAUGGAGUAUGUCUUGUGCCUGGUCAGGAGAGAGGCCUCUGAGGAGGUCGAGAGGGCGUUCUUGAGCUCCAUUGCUGAGCAUGGCCACAGCUACUGUGCUAGCUGCGUGGCACCAUCGAUGGGACUCAACCAUCAAUUUGCUCUCUGUGCUUAGGUACUAGUUUAGCUAGUGAAAUAUUUCUUUUGGUUACGUCCGAGAGGAGUUCUGUGGAGUCUGAUGUAAGAUUCGUUUGUCACAGGAAAUGUAGAUAAGAGACAAUUUUCAUGGGAAAAAUACAUUAUUUGUCACAUCCUUUAACAUAGUUCAUACUAAAGUUGAGACACAUAUUUUGGGACAGAGGGAAGAAAUUGGAAGGAAACCAUGGGCCUAUAGUUGUCAACAGUUUUUCUUUUUCAGAUGAGAAGCUGACUUAGUUGGAACUUGCGAUUGUACUUGAAUGCGUGUUCUUAACAUUUUUAUUAGGUGCGAAAGGGACGGUCUUAAUUGAUGCAGCACAGACAACUUGUGGAACAGUGUCAUAUCUUAGUUCUUGAUGGCCUACCUAACUUGUGGGCAGUAGCCAUUCCUUAGCUCCUUCUCUGCACAUCCCUUUGGGCCUUCAGCCAGCUGCAUGUCUGAAGAUUCUGAAUAUAUAACAGGCAUCUACUAAAUCUUGUGUCGACACUUUCUGUAAAGUUCUGUGGGUAGAACAUUAAGCAAUUCAGUAACAGCUAAACAUCAGUGUCUUUUACCCCCCAAAAUAAAUCUCCUUGUGGAGUACUGCCUGCUUUCUCUUCCAUUUUGUAAUUUUUAUCCUACUUCUUGUAUUGAUGGUUUCUAAAUAUUUUCCUGAUGGUUCAUCCUAAAAUGGCUCCUGUACCACCUGGCCAGUUCACUAAUUCACAAAUUCUUGAUCAUUGUAAUGUCCUGGUUUAGAUGAUAGAUUGCAUGGAACCAUUGACAUCUGUGCAGCAGUAUGAAACCAUUGACAUUUAAAAAUAGAGAAGAAUUGCUGCAAGUGCUGGUUGACCACAUUCCUGCUGGUUGUUGCUUUGAUGAUCACAUUGCUCUACAUACAAUUUUCCUUCUCCUAUUGUGUGUUAUCUAACUCUCUUACACUAUCCAGGCAAACUGCUCAAGACAGAAGACAUCAUCAGCGUCUACGCCUGCUGUUCUUCAGCAGCUACAAACAGCAAAUCUGUUUGCUGGCUCCAACGGUAGGCAUCAUCACACAGCCUGUGUAAUGGCAAGGCGUCACCAUAGAGCUAGGCACCGCCUUCUCGACCUCGGCAGAGGCAUUCCUCCUCAGCAAGCACAUGACGUACUCCAUCACCGUGGCGUCACAGGGCAGCGUGAUCUCGC